CAGGGGAUAUUGCGCAAUGGACGGAAGUCUGACGCAGCGACGCCGCGUGGAUGAUGAAGGCCUUCGGGUUGUAAAAUCCUUUUCAGGGGGAAGAGCGAGGACGGUACCCCUGGAAUAAGCGUCGGCUAACUACGUGCCAGCAGCCGCGGUAAGACGUAAGACGCGAGCGUUAUCCGGAUUUACUGGGCGUAAAGCGUCUGUAGGCGGAAGUGUAAGUUGGACGUGAAAGCUCCGGGCUCAACUCGGAGAGGCCGUUCAAUACUGCACAACUAGAGGCCAUCAGAGGGGCGUGGAAUUUCCGGUGUAGCGGUAAAAUGCGCAGAUAUCGGAAGGAACACCAGUGGCGAAGGCGGCGCCCUGGGGUGGGCCUGACGCUAAGAGACGAAAGCUAGGGGAGC
Molecule: ribosomal RNA, 398 nt
Filed under: uncultured bacterium
Lineage: Bacteria
Description: bacterial SSU rRNA
Rfam family: Bacterial small subunit ribosomal RNA
Source: RNAcentral